Small nuclear RNA from Jaculus jaculus (lesser Egyptian jerboa), 104 nucleotides. NCBI's taxonomy places the organism in Eukaryota, Metazoa, Chordata, Mammalia, Rodentia, Dipodidae. The record is from RefSeq and is a predicted model, not a curated record.
GCGCUUGCUUCUGCAGCACACAUACUAAGAUCGGAACAAUGUGGAGAUUAGCAUGGCCCCUGUGCAAGGAUGACACACGAAUUUGUGAAGCAUUCCAGAUUUUU